RNAcentral lists this ribosomal RNA (738 nucleotides) under Alkalicoccobacillus gibsonii. Its description in RNAcentral is "bacterial SSU rRNA". It matches the Rfam family "Bacterial small subunit ribosomal RNA", at positions 56 to 774 of the family's 1533-position model. The record is from RNAcentral. Lineage: Bacteria; Bacillati; Bacillota; Bacilli; Caryophanales; Bacillaceae.
UGCAGUCGAGCGGACGUUUUUGAAGCUUGCUUCAAAAACGUUAGCGGCGGACGGGUGAGUAACACGUGGGCAACCUACCUUAUCGACUGGGAUAACUCCGGGAAACCGGGGCUAAUACCGGAUAACAUCUAGCACCUCCUGGUGCCGGAUUAAAAGAGGGCUUCUUGCUCUCACGAUGAGAUGGGCCCGCGGCGCAUUAGCUAGUUGGAGAGGUAACGGCUCCCCAAGGCGACGAUGCGUAGCCGACCUGAGAGGGUGAUCGGCCACACUGGGACUGAGACACGGCCCAGACUCCUACGGGAGGCAGCAGUAGGGAAUCUUCCGCAAUGGACGAAAGUCUGACGGAGCAACGCCGCGUGAGUGAUGAAGGGUUUCGGCUCGUAAAGCUCUGUUAUGAGGGAAGAACACGUACCGUUCGAAUAGGGCGGUACCUUGACGGUACCUCAUCAGAAAGCCACGGCUAACUACGUGCCAGCAGCCGCGGUAAUACGUAGGUGGCAAGCGUUGUCCGGAAUUAUUGGGCGUAAAGCGCGCGCAGGCGGCCUUUUAAGUCUGAUGUGAAAUCUUGCGGCUCAACCGCAAGCGGCCAUUGGAAACUGGGAGGCUUGAGUACAGAAGAGGAGAGUGGAAUUCCACGUGUAGCGGUGAAAUGCGUAGAUAUGUGGAGGAACACCAGUGGCGAAGGCGACUCUCUGGUCUGUAACUGACGCUGAGGCGCGAAAGCGUGGGGAGCAAACA